GAUUGCGGCGGUCUUGAAAACCGUUGUACCGCGAGGUACCCGGGGUUCGAAUCCCUGUCUCU
Molecule: transfer RNA, 62 nt
Filed under: Caudoviricetes sp.
Lineage: Duplodnaviria; Heunggongvirae; Uroviricota; Caudoviricetes
Description: tRNA-OTHER
Source: RNAcentral